This 1449-nucleotide ribosomal RNA is filed under the name Cladonia firma. Its description in RNAcentral is "SSU rRNA". The stretch from base 201 to 1449 matches the Rfam family "Eukaryotic small subunit ribosomal RNA", at positions 1 to 1054 of the family's 1831-position model. Lineage: Eukaryota; Fungi; Ascomycota; Lecanoromycetes; Lecanorales; Cladoniaceae. The record is from RNAcentral.
ACUUGAUGUGCCAGUUUCUCUCGUCUAGGGCAUGUUUUUAGGUCAUGUUUUUGGGGAGGGGUCGCUUAAUGGGCCAUUCGAAAUUCAAUACAGCAGGUUGCUUGGGCAGCUCUGUGACAUUAUCAAAGUGUGAGAACCGGGCUUCCGGAACCCGCAGCCAGCGUCGCCUGGUCCAACGACUACAAGAUAUAUGGCCAGGGAUCAGCUCCUUGGUUAAGAUAUAGUCUCCUCCAGCAGAGCAAUCUGCGGGGCCUAGUGCAUUAAAUCAGUUAUCGUUCAUUUGAUAGUACCUUACUACUUGGAUACCUGUGGUAAUUCUAGAGCUAAUACAUGCUAAAAACCUCGACUUCGGAAGGGGUGUAUUUAUUAGAUAAAAAACCAAUGCCCUUCGGGGCUCCUUGGUGAUUCAUAAUAACUUAACGAAUCGCAUGGCCUUGAGCCGGCGAUGGUUCAUUCAAAUUUCUGCCCUAUCAACUUUCGAUGGUAGUAUAGUGGACUACCAUGGUUUCUACGGGUAACGGGGAAUUAGGGUUCUAUUCCGGAGAGGGAGCCUGAGAAACGGCUACCACAUCCAAGGAAGGCAGCAGGCGCGCAAAUUACCCAAUCCCGACACGGGGAGGUAGUGACAAUAAAUACUGAUCCAGGGCUCUUUUGGGUCUUGGAAUUGGAAUGAGUACAAUUUAAAUCCCUUAACGAGGAACAAUUGGAGGGCAAGUCUGGUGCCAGCAGCCGCGGUAAUUCCAGCUCCAAUAGCGUAUAUUAAAGUUGUUGCAGUUAAAAAGCUCGUAGUUGAAACUUGGGCCUGGCUGACCGGUCCGCCUCACCGCGUGCACUGGCUCGGCCGGGCCUUUCCUUCUGGGGAACCGCAUGGCCUUCAUUGGUCGUGUUGGGGAUCCAGGACUUUUACUUUGAAAAAAUUAGAGUGUUCAAAGCAGGCCUAUGCUCGAAUACAUUAGCAUGGAAUAAUAGAAUAGGACGUGUGGUUCUAUUUUGUUGGUUUCUAGGACCGCCGUAAUGAUUAAUAGGGAUAGUCGGGGGCAUCAGUAUUCAAUUGUCAGAGGUGAAAUUCUUGGAUUUAUUGAAGACUAACUACUGCGAAAGCAUUUGCCAAGGAUGUUUUCAUUAAUCAGUGAACGAAAGUUAGGGGAUCGAAGACGAUUGUAUUUGGUCGUCCAUAGUGAGUAGCAUCAUCUAGUUGGGGGCACUCUCCCUCCAGGGAGGAGUGUCCCUGGCCACAUCACCAAACUGAUGGGGCUCCCCUGCCGUUUCUGGCGGGGCGAAACCCACAGCCAAGCUCUUCGGAGUGCAGUCUACAGACUGAAUGUUGAUGGGUGGGUCUUAAGGGACCCGUUUCUAAUAUAGUCGAGUCCCUCGGAAGCAUUCUCUUCCGGGGGUGUUUUACGCAGAUACCGUCGUAGUCUUAACCAUAAACUAUGCCGACUGGGGAUC